This 337-nucleotide long non-coding RNA is filed under the name Elaeis guineensis (African oil palm). RNAcentral's name for it is "long non-coding RNA (EGUI_LNC010252)". Lineage: Eukaryota; Viridiplantae; Streptophyta; Magnoliopsida; Arecales; Arecaceae. The record is from RNAcentral.
GAGCGGCCUCCAUAACCGCGAGAUUAAUCCCUUGUGAUAUGUUUUAGAUGUGCAAGAGGUUAGUCUCAACAACCUCCUUUGCAUGUCCUAAGAUUUUGAUCGGCUCCAAUUCUCGCUACACUAACUUUGACUCAUUCUCUCUUUUUGUCUUUCAUUCAGAAUCUCCUCUAUUAUUAUGAGAUGAUUUGACUUAAGCAUCAAAGGAUUCCCAUUAACAAACCUCCAGCAAGUAGAUUUUCUCCUGUCUUUGGCAUUUUUUAGGGCCAAUCUAGAUGUUGGAGUGAAGAACUAGCCACCAUCAACGACUUCGAAAUCUUUGACCAACUUUUUAGGUCCC